Molecule: ribosomal RNA, 245 nt
Filed under: uncultured delta proteobacterium
Lineage: Bacteria; Deltaproteobacteria
Description: partial 16S ribosomal RNA
Rfam family: Bacterial small subunit ribosomal RNA
Source: RNAcentral
GACAGAGGGUGCUAGCGUUGUUCGGAAUCAUUGGGCGUAAAGCGCGCGUAGGCGGCAUGGCAAGUCGGGUGUGAAAGCCCUGGGCUUACCCGAGGAAGUGCAUCCGAAACUGCUGUGCUUGAGUGCCGGAGAGGGUGGUGGAAUUCCCAGUGUAGAGGUGAAAUUCGUAGAUAUUGGGAGGAACAUCCGUGGCGAAGGCGACCACCUGGACGGACACUGACGCUGAGGUGCGAAAGCGUGGGGAG